GUAUAGUCUAGUUGACUUGGACGAGAGAAAAGUACUAGUCCUAGUAAACACACGACCACUUGCGUAGCUGUCCGAGGUGCGGAGAGGGACACGACAGGGCGAGCGCUCCUGCGACCGCCAUGCUCGCGCGUGGCCGUCCGGCCGCCGCCGGCCUGAUCUCCUAGCUCUCGCCUGCUCCGCGUCCGGCGAGACCAGAUCCAGUACCCUUGUCCCGCGCUCUGUCUUCUCCGCGAGCUCCCCUGCUCCUCCGUCUAGUGCUCUGCCUCCUUGGUGAUUUCCGGCGAUUUCCCGGUGACUGGCGUCAUGCCGCUUCUUCUCCUCCCCUUCCUUCUCUGAUCUCCUAUCUCAUCCCUCGUCUCCCGGAUUCCCUUCUCCUCUGUGUCUCCUCUCUACUUCCCCUUGUUCCCUCUAUCCAUCUUGCUCAUCCAGAUCCCCUUUUGUUGCUUCUCUGCUUCUUCCCUCCCGUGAUAUUCGCUGCCCUCCGAUUCUGUUAGUGACCUGCUGCUGCUCUCCACUUUCGCCACAGAUCCGGAGCUUCUGCCCAACGGCCUUAUUUUCGCAGAUCUGGCGUCUCCUUGCUGUGGGUGACCCCGGGCUCGCGCCGAGCCAGGAGAGUGGGGUGAGGAAGGCAGAGUUAUUUGUCUCGAUUCCAGAUAUCUUUUGGGCGCUAUGAGGGCCAUCGCCUGGAACUGCCGAGGUAUGGGCAGAAGCCUUGGUAGUGAGAGGAUGCUCUAUCUUGCCAACUUGAUGCGGUCUACGAAGACACAGUCAUCUUGUUUGGCAGGAUCUUUAAAAGUCUGGUGCAAGAAGAAAAAACCUCUCCAACAAGAACUUGCUGAGCUAGAAUCCAGAAUCAAGGAUUUGCAACAGCUGCCUCUCCACCAACAGGACCAUGUUUUGGAAAGUACUCUUACUAAUAGGCCUUUUUCUUCCCCUAUUUGGACUAAUGACAACAAUGAUCCUACUUAUUCUAUUCCGGACAAGACUGAACUUUUGCGGAUUCUUAAAGACAUGAAGCUUAAUGCUUCUCCUGGUCCUGAUGGGUUCAAUGUAGAAUUUUAUUUAGCUACUUGGGAUUGGAUUGGAGAUGAGGUAACUCAGCUUGUCACUCACUUCUAUAAUACUGCUACACUUCCCCCUCACAUCAAUGAUACCAAUAUUGCUCUUAUCCCUAAGAAGUUGGUUCCUCUUGUGCCCAUGGACUACCGUCCUAUUAGUCUUUGUAAUGUGCUUUAUAAAAUCAUUGCUAAGUCUCUUGCGAAUAGACUUAAGCAUCAUCUUCCUGAUUACAUUGACCAAGCUCAACAAGCAUUUAUUGAGGGUAGACGUAUUAGUGACAACGUUAUCAUUGCUCAGGAAAUUGCUCACUCGUUUUCUCUUAAAUCCUGAAAAUAUGAUGCCUUUAUGCUUAAGAUUGACCUUGCCAAAGCUUUUGAUGGUUUAGAAUGGAAUUUCAUUGUUUCUGCUCUGGCUCGUAAAGGGCUGCAUGGUCAUUUUGUUAAUUUGGUUCAUGCAUGCAUCUCAUCUCCCUCAUUCUCUGUUCUCAUUAAUGGCCAGCCCUCUCCUAAAUUUAAGAGCUUCAGAGGAAUACGACAAGGUUGUCCCAUGUCUCUUUACUUGUUUGUUCUUGCAAUUAAUGAACUUUCCAUCUUGCUUAAUGAAGCUUUGCAGGCUAACCAAUUGCAGGGAAUUUCUCUUGGACCAAACUGCCCCUCUGUCCAUUCUCUUCUAUUUGCAGAUGAUCUUCUGGUGUGUGGGCACGCUACUUAUCCGGAGGCUCAGACGAUGGCUAGUCUUAUUCAACACUUUUGUGCUCUUUCUGGUCAAACUCCUAUCUGGAAUAAAUCUGCCAUUCUCUUUAGCAAUCAUGUUUCUCAGAAUAUUAUUAAUAAUAUUAAUCAAGUCUUUCCCGUUGCUAAUCUUGAUGCUAAUUUCACUCAUCUUGGUCAUCCUCUAAUUUUGCCUGCUAAGAAUAGGGGUGCUGCUUAUAACUUUGUUUUGGAUAAAUUUUUAAAUAAGCUCCCCUCUUAUAAAGCUAACAUGCUAUCUCAUGCUGCCCGUCUUGAACUUAUUCGCUCUGUCUUUUCUGCUAUCCCUGUUUACUAUAUGGCAAACAUUCUGUUUUUAAAAAAAUUUAUUGGCAAGCUCACUUCUAUCAUUAGGAAUUUUUGGUGGACAGGGAUUAGAGAAACAGAUUCUGAGAGGAGUCUUUGUCUCAGAGCAUGGAAGGAUAUUACCAACUCCAAGUCUGAAGGUGGUCUUGGAAUCAGAAAUCUAAAAGCCGUCAAUGAGAGUCUUAUUCUUGCUGCGGCUUGGAGGUUAGCUAAAAACCCCUCCUCCCAAUUAUAUUGUGUCCUUCAAGCCAAAUAUUUUUCUACCACUUCUAUUUGGAAAGCUACUAAUAAUCCACCUAAAUCUGCCUUUUGGUCUUCCAUUUUAAAAAUGCUUCCUAAACUUAAAGAGCAUGCCUUCUAUCAACUCACCCAAGGUAAUGUUUCUAUUUGGAGCAUGCCUUGGUGCAAUCUUCGGAACUCUAUUCAUGAUUUUCUCAUUCCUCAACCAUCAGGCUUUAUUUAUCCCUCAUUGGUUAGGGAUCUUUGGCAGCCUGGGCAAAGGCAAUGGAACCGUCAGCUCAUUUUCUCUCUUUUUCAGCAACCUUUGGCUACUCAGAUUAUCAACAUUGAUAUUCUCGAUGAUGAUAAUGUUGAUAUUCUUUGUUGGCCUUUGGCUCCCAAUGGUAUUUGCUCUUCAAAAGCUGCUUAUAAACUUUGCUUACAAGACAUUCAUACUAAUCCUAGAACUGCUCCUCCGGAUGUUCCUUUGGAUUUGAAAGCUUUUCUUAAAACUAUUUGGAAGCAGAAAGAUUUAUUGCCCAAGGUUAAAACUUUUGCUUGGAGGAUGCUUAGCAAAGCUUUACCCACAGGAAUGAGAGCAGGCCGUUUUUCUAUUCACAUUUCGCAGAAUUGUUGUAGAUGUGCUCAGCAAGAAGAUGAGUUUCACCUUUUCUUUCUUUGUGACUUUGCUAGAGCGGCCUGGUUCUCUGCUCCUUGGUUUCUUAGAUCUGACAUCCUUGUGCAAGGUCACUCUUCAAUGCAUUCCCUUCUGAUUCACUUUGCUUCUAUGGGCCAUCCUUAUGCAUCUUUGCAUAAUAUUUUCAAUUUUAUGUGGUGCAUUUGGAAGGCUAGAAAUGAUUUCCUCUUUGAGAGGAAAUUUUCUUUUCCCUACCAAAUUAAAAUUGCUGCUACUAGUUUGAAUAAUAUUCUCCAAGAGGAGAUUCUGUCUUCUACUAAUAUUCAGUCUUUGCAGGCUUCUCAACACUAGUAGAAAACAGGGCUUUGGUCCAGGCUGGGUCAGCCCAUUAGUCCCGGUUCAGUCCAGAACCGGGACCAAUGUGGGCAUUGGUCCCGUUUCGUGAGCCCAGGGGGCCGGCCGGGCCACGUGGGCCAUUGGUCCCGAUUCAUCUGGACCUUUUGGUCCCGGUUGGUGGGAUGAACCGGGACCAAUGGGCCUCGCUCCUAGCCCACCACCAUUGGUCCUGGUUGGUGGCUUGAACCGGGACCAAAGGCUCCCCUUUAGUCCCGGCUCAUGUCACCAACCGGGACCAAUGAGGUGCCUAUAUAUACCCCUCGCUCGCGAGCAGAGCACCCCAGUGCUCUAUUUUUCUCUGGCCGAGGGGGAGAGGGCUUGGUGGUGCUCUAGCUCACCUCCUAUGCACACAAGGUGUUCGAUGGAAUGCCCGAGCCACACUACUUAAGCUUUCUCCUCUCCAAGCUCGACCUCCAAGCUCCAUUUUCCAUAAUAUUUGUCUAGGUUUAGCGGUCUGUCACGCCUCGUCCCCGUCUUCACCGCCGUUGAUCACCCGCGCCGAGCUCAUCGCCGGCACCACCGUGUGCGAUGGUUUUGGUAUCCGCCCCCGUCGGCCCUCGUCCUGUCUAUGAUUCGGAUGUGGAUGUAUGUGAAUCGGAAAUGCCAACCGAUCCUAUUGUCGAGAGGUUAAAUUUAGUUGAAGAUGAAAACAAUUUGUUGAAGGAAAAAAUAAAAAAAAUUGAGGAGGAGAAGAUGAUAUUGGAGUUGCAUGUUGCGGAUGUCGUCGAUGAUCACAAGAUCAAGAUGGAUGCAAUGCGCUUGAAGAUUAGAAAGAUUAGAAAAUAUGCCAUUCAUACCGAGGCUUGGUAUCAUUAUGCCAUUGGAUCAAUUGUUACCUUGGUUGCGAUUAUGAUCACAUUUGUUUUCGCAUUGAAAUGUUUUACAUAGUUUCAAUGUAUGGUUUAAUUAAUUAGAUGCUCUGGAGAGCUAUAUGUUGUUAGAUGAGAACUAUGUAUGCACUUUGGUUUUAAUGUGAUGAUGAACUUCUAUUAAUUUGGACACUUAAUUAUAUAUAAUGCACGAAGAUGAAC
RNAcentral lists this ribosomal RNA (4397 nucleotides) under Triticum aestivum (bread wheat). Its description in RNAcentral is "partial small subunit ribosomal RNA". The record is from RNAcentral. Lineage: Eukaryota; Viridiplantae; Streptophyta; Magnoliopsida; Poales; Poaceae.